CUUGGUCAUUUAGAGGAAGUAAAAGUCGUAACAAGGUCUCCGUUGGUGAACCAGCGGAGGGAUCAUUACCGAGUUUACAACUCCCAAACCCCUGUGAACUUAUACCUUUUACCGUUGCUUCGGCGGGUUCUCGCCCCGGAACAGGUUCUUCCUGCCCGGAACCAGGCGCCCGCCGGGGGACCUAAACUCUUGUAUUUUUUACAUUUACAUGUCUGAGUGGAAUCAUAUCAAAUGAAUCAAAACUUUCAACAACGGAUCUCUUGGUUCUGGCAUCGAUGAAGAACGCAGCGAAAUGCGAUAAGUAAUGUGAAUUGCAGAAUUCAGUGACAUCAUCGAAUCUUUGAACGCACAUUGCGCCCGCCAGUAUUCUGGCGGGCAUGCCUGUUCGAGCGUCAUUUCAACCCUCAAGCCCCCGUGGUUUGGUGUUGGGGACCGGCGAUCCUCGCUGCCUCGGCAGCGUUGCGCCGCCCCCGAAAUGAAUUGGCGGUCUCGUCGCGGCCUCCUCUGCGUAGUAGCACAACCUCGCAACAGGAGCGCGACGCGGCCACUGCCGUAAAACGCCCAACUUUUUUAGAGUUGACCUCGAAUCAGGUAGGAAUACCCGCUGAACUUAAGCAUAUCAAUAAGCGGAGGA
Molecule: ribosomal RNA, 634 nt
Filed under: uncultured Paecilomyces
Lineage: Eukaryota; Fungi; Ascomycota; Eurotiomycetes; Eurotiales; Thermoascaceae
Description: eukaryotic LSU rRNA
Rfam family: 5.8S ribosomal RNA (bases 241-395)
Source: RNAcentral